This 465-nucleotide ribosomal RNA is filed under the name uncultured bacterium. RNAcentral's name for it is "bacterial SSU rRNA". It matches the Rfam family "Bacterial small subunit ribosomal RNA", at positions 338 to 795 of the family's 1533-position model. The record is from RNAcentral.
CCUANGGGUGGCAGCAGUGGGGAAUUUUGGACAAUGGGGGCAACCCUGAUCCAGCCAUUCCGCGUGAGUGAAGAAGGCCUUCGGGUUGUAAAGCUCUUUUGUUCGGGACGAAACGGUUUCACCUAAUACGUGAGACUACUGACGGUACCGGAAGAAUAAGCACCGGCUAACUACGUGCCAGCAGCCGCGGUAAUACGUAGGGUGCGAGCGUUAAUCGGAAUUACUGGGCGUAAAGCGUGNACAGGCGGUUUUAUAAGCCAGAUGUGAAAGCCCCGGGCUCAACCUGGGAAUGGCAUUUGGGACUGUAAGGCUGGAGUAUGGCAGAGGAGACUAGAAUUCCUGGUGUAGCAGUGAAAUGCGUAGAUAUCAGGAGGAAUACCGAUGGCGAAGGCAGGUCUCUGGGCCAAUACUGACGCUCAUGCACGAAAGCGUGGGGAGCAAACAGGAUUAGAUACCCGANUAGUC